Molecule: ribosomal RNA, 251 nt
Filed under: uncultured prokaryote
Description: partial 16S rRNA
Rfam family: Bacterial small subunit ribosomal RNA
Source: RNAcentral
ACGAAGGGGGCUAGCGUUGUUCGGAAUUACUGGGCGUAAAGGGCGCGUAGGCGGUUUAACAAGUUGGGUGUGAAAGCCCAGGGCUCAACCCUGGAAAUGCACUCAAGACUGUUUUACUUGAAUUCGGUAGAGGUUGGUGGAAUUCCCAGUGUAGAGGUGAAAUUCGUAGAGAUUGGGAAGAACACCCGUGGCGAAGGCGGCCAACUGGACCGACAUUGACGCUGAGGCGCGAAAGCGUGGGGAGCAAACAG